RNAcentral lists this ribosomal RNA (357 nucleotides) under Klebsiella pneumoniae. RNAcentral's name for it is "bacterial SSU rRNA". It matches the Rfam family "Bacterial small subunit ribosomal RNA", at positions 1020 to 1362 of the family's 1533-position model. The record is from RNAcentral. Lineage: Bacteria; Pseudomonadati; Pseudomonadota; Gammaproteobacteria; Enterobacterales; Enterobacteriaceae.
UCGGGAACUGUGAGACAGGCCUGGAUGGUAAGUCGUCAGCUCGUGUGUGAAAUGUUAGGGUUAAGUCCCGCAACGAGCGCGAACCUUUAUCCUUUGUUGCCAGCGUGUUCAGGNCGGGAACUCAAAGGAGACAUGCCAGUGAUAAACUGGAGGANGGUGGGGAUGACGUCAAGUCAUCAUGGCCCGUUGACGACCAGGGCUACACACGUGCUACAAUGGCAUAUACAAAGAGAAGCGACCUCGCGAGAGCAAGCGGACCUCAUAAAGUAUGUNGUAGUCCGGAUAAGGAGGUGCUGCAACUCGACGUCCAUGAAGUCGGAAGUCGCAUGAGUAAUCGUNAGGAUCAGAAUGCUACGG